Molecule: long non-coding RNA, 725 nt
Organism: Musa acuminata AAA Group (dessert banana)
Lineage: Eukaryota; Viridiplantae; Streptophyta; Magnoliopsida; Zingiberales; Musaceae
Exons: 3
Source: RefSeq, a predicted model, not a curated record
UCCUGUUUCUGGAUGUAUACUUAAUUACGUAUAAUGUUUCUUUCAGGACAUUUAGCCCAUUGAUCUGUACAUUUUAGACCUGUGGCUUUCACUGGUGAUACUUAGAUAAGAUGCUGCCUGAUUUCUUGACUCUAUUGUGAUAGAUGAUGGCCCAAGGACCUCAAAAUUGCUGGAUGGCUCAUCUGGAUUCAUAAUCACAUAUGAAGACAGGGAUGGCGACUGGAUGUUAGUUGGUGAUGUUCCGUGGGGAAUGUUCCUUAGCACUGUCAAGAGGCUUAGAAUCAUGAAGACCUCUGAUGCUAGUGGGCUUGGCAAAUGGGUCUGCCAGAGUCAUGUUCACCCAUCUUGUUCUCCCGGAGUCUUUCGUAUGAUACCUCACUCUGAAGGGUUACUUUAACUUAGCCUCAUUUUCAAAUGUGAAUCAAGCAUUGUUUCUCUCGUAUUCAUCCUUAAAAUGUGAAUCAAGCAUUAGAGAGAUAGUAUGGAUAUUUGUGUUUAAGAUCUUGGGUGCUGUGAUUCAUGAGAAACUUAAGCGCCUGGGAAAGUAUAUUGACGCAUCACACUUUUGCGGAUUGACGUGUAGCAUUGUCUUUAUGCAAUGUUUCAUGAUCGAUUAGAUGAUUAACACUUGUAACUUUAUGCAAUUUUAAGCUGGUCUUCUGCCACUGUCAUCCAAUGGUAGAUGGAACACUAUAAUUUAUAUUUAUCUUAUUUUUUGACUUGUA